GAUGAACGCUGGCGGCGUGCCUAAUGCAUGCAAGUCGAGCGAAUGGAUUAAGAGCUCGCUCUUAUGAAGUUAGCGGCGGACGGGUGAGUAACACGUGGGUAACCUGCCCAUAAGACUGGGAUAACUCCGGGAAACCGGGGCUAAUACCGGAUAACAUUUUGAACCGCAUGGUUCGAAAUUGAAAGGCGGCUUCGGCUGUCACUUAUGGAUGGACCCGCGUCGCAUUAGCUAGUUGGUGAGGUAACGGCUCACCAAGGCAACGAUGCGUAGCCGACCUGAGAGGGGGAUCGGCCACACUGGACUGAGACACGGCCCAGACUCCUACGGGAGGCAGCAGUAGGGAAUCUUCCGCAAUGGACGAAAGUCUGACGGAGCAACGCCGCGUGAGUGAUGAAGGCUUUCGGGUCGUAAAACUCUGUUGUUAGGGAAGAACAAGUGCUAGUUGAAUAAGCUGGCACCUUGACGGUACCUAACCAGAAAGCCACGGCUAACUACGUGCCAGCCGCCGCAGUAA
RNAcentral lists this ribosomal RNA (514 nucleotides) under uncultured bacterium. RNAcentral describes it as "partial 16S ribosomal RNA". It matches the Rfam family "Bacterial small subunit ribosomal RNA", at positions 28 to 523 of the family's 1533-position model. The record is from RNAcentral.